CAGUAGGGAGGAAGGUAGUGUAGUUAACACCUGCAUUAUUUGACGUUACCUACAGAAGAAGCACCGGCUAACUCCGUGCCAGCAGCCGCGGUAAUACGGGAGGGUGCGAGCGUUAAUACGGAAUUACUGGGACGUAAAGCGCAUGCAGGCGGCCUGUUAAGUCAGAUGUAGAAACGGCCCGGGGACCGUUUAACCGUACGGUAAGUUGCUAUUUAGUAAACGUGGCGAGGCUAGAGUCUUGUAGAGGGGGGUAGGAAUUUCAGGUGUAGCGGUGAAAUGCGUAGAGAUCUGAAGGAAUACCAGUGGCGAAGGCGGCCCCCUGGACAAAGACUGACGCUCAGAUGCGAAAGCGUGGGGAGCAAACAGGAUUAGAUACCCUGGUAG
RNAcentral lists this ribosomal RNA (384 nucleotides) under uncultured bacterium. RNAcentral describes it as "bacterial SSU rRNA". It matches the Rfam family "Bacterial small subunit ribosomal RNA", at positions 434 to 793 of the family's 1533-position model. The record is from RNAcentral.